CAGGGGCCAGCCCCAAAUGAAAGGUCCUUUUUAAUAAAGUCCUAUUCUCAAAAAGGAGCAUACCUAUAUAUUGCAUUUUUUAAUGUAAAUACUUUCUUUUUACUGCACAUUACAUUUUUAUUACAGAGCUCCAUAACUUUUAUGUAGGAAACAAUUUCUCUUCCUGCUUUUCCUUUAAAGAAAAAACCAGGGGGAAAAUUAACAAUAGAUUCUCUGAAUUUGGUAAGGUCAUUGAUCAGUCUAUCCAUUACACAAGUUCAAAAGAUACCUGCUGGAUUACAAAUUA
Ceratotherium simum simum (southern white rhinoceros) is the source of this 286-nucleotide non-coding RNA. The record is from RefSeq and is a predicted model, not a curated record. NCBI's taxonomy places the organism in Eukaryota, Metazoa, Chordata, Mammalia, Perissodactyla, Rhinocerotidae.